AUACAGAGGGUGCGAGCGUUAAUCGGAAUUACUGGGCGUAAAGCGCGCGUAGGCGGUCUAUUAAGUCAGAUGUGAAAUCCCAGGGCUCAACCUUGGAACUGCAUCUGAUACUGGUAGACUAGAGUUUUGGAGAGGGGAGUAGAAUUUCAGGUGUAGCGGUGAAAUGCAUAGAGAUCUGAAGGAAUACCAGUGGCGAAGGCGACUUCCUGGCCAAAAACUGACGCUGAGGUGCGAAAGCGUGGGUAGCAAACGGGAUUAGAAACCCUAGUAGUCC
This 274-nucleotide ribosomal RNA is filed under the name uncultured bacterium. Its description in RNAcentral is "partial 16S ribosomal RNA". It matches the Rfam family "Bacterial small subunit ribosomal RNA", at positions 523 to 796 of the family's 1533-position model. The record is from RNAcentral.